AUAUCAAUAAGCGGAGGAAAAGAAACUAACAAGGAUUCCCCUAGUAACGGCGAGUGGAGCGGGAUGAGCUCAAAUUUAAAAUCUGGCUGGUUUACUAGUCCGAAUUGUAGUUUAUAGAGGCGUUUUCUGUGCUGGACCGUGUCCAAGUCCCUUGGAACAGGGUAUCAAAGAGGGUGACAAUCCCGUACUUGACACGACAACCAGUGCUCUGUGAUACGUCUUCUACGAGUCGAGUUGUUUGGGAAUGCAGCUCAAAAUGGGUGGUGAAUUCCAUCUAAAGCUAAAUAUUGGCGAGAGACCGAUAGCGCACAAGUA
This 315-nucleotide ribosomal RNA is filed under the name uncultured eukaryote. RNAcentral describes it as "partial large subunit ribosomal RNA". It matches the Rfam family "Eukaryotic large subunit ribosomal RNA", at positions 40 to 350 of the family's 3401-position model. The record is from RNAcentral.